CUCUGAGUUCGGGAGGAAAGCCUUGAAAUCCAGGUAGGGGACCCAGAACUCCCUUGAUUAGUGCAAUUUCAUUUUAUAUAAAUGUCUAUGCAUAUUUGAUAUUGCAUGAUUCGGUUAUCAUAAAAAUGGUAACUGGUGUUAUGAGAUUUUGAUGGCUUGAGAGUGAGUGGGGCAUAGCGACUUCCUUGGGCUUUAAUACCCUAAACCUCCGGAGGGGCUGUAUGCACCGAAGAGUGUCUGACAUCCUUUGAGGUGUGACACUGCUCCUAGGAGAUACGGCGUAAGUGGACACUCUCACUACACUUACAUGUUGUACACACAUAUAGUGAGGUAAGUUAAUAGUGGGUCUACAAAUGACCGGCCAUCAGGUACAGUUUUAUGGCGCCGCAUUUAUUUGAUCAUAGAAAUGUUUUUGAAAGUUUGUCGUUCAUUAAAUAUUUGGAUUCAAUCUUUUUGUUAUACUGGGCCCUAUGAAACUAUUAUUUAUCUGUUUUCAAACCUAGUUAAGGGUAAAGUUCCUUGAGCAGUGAGGACGAAAGCUCACCCCUACAACAGUUUGGUUGGAGGUACUAUGCAUUGGGACGGGAUAGUGACAAGGAGUUGGGUGUGCAUAUUUAUGAUCGGUAAUUUUGGGUUUCCAUGAUGUUCCCUUUAUUUUUGUACUUAGAGUUACAUUGUUAGAAAUUCUAUUUUGUUGGUCUUGUUAUGUCCUCAUUCGUAAGUCUAUUCCUUGAAGUUCGUUAAUUAUCGUUCAUUUCUUACAUUAAGUUUUAGGCGAAUGAAAGAGUCAAAUUCUUUUAUGGGUUUGCUUUAUGACAUUUUCAUUGGAGUUUGUAUUACUUUGAGUUCGUCAUUUUAUAACCAUUCCUCGUAUCAGGUUUUGGGCGAAUAAAAGUACUUUAAGAAAAAUAAAGAUUUUACACCUCAAAAUAUUUUUACGCUUCUGUUGUGUUUUUCUUAAAUGUUUUCUUAAAUCAACUGCCUUGCGUUUCUCUUUGUUUUAUUUAGAGACUUGUGACACUGAGACGUGUCUAAACUGAGGAGGUGCAGUUUGGGACGUUACAAGUUUGAUGGGGUGAUUGUGUUAUUAUUUAUGUUAUUACAUGAAUUGUUUGGGAUAUUGGAUUAUUUGGUAUUGAUUUGUUUGACAUUGAGUUCUUUGAUAUGAAUUGGAAUAAGUAUUGGAUGAUAUUGAACUUUUGAAUCGAUUAUGACAUGUUUAUAUUAGAAAACAUGUGAUUCUAUUUUGAAAUUAUAUUACAUUUGUCAUGGGAAAUGAGGUUGGAGAUUAAAAGAAGAAUCGAGUGUUUUGGGAUAUAUGGAACUUUAUUAUUAGGAAACCAUUUGUGUAGUUGAGUUUUCUCAUGGGUUAUCCUCAGGAUCUAUGAUUAGCCCACAUGUGCACAAAUUUGGAGAAUGUAUGCCCCAUCAGCGGCGGACGUCGAUAAAACGAUCUUAUCAAGUUGCGGAUCGGGAGACCAUGAGUAUAACAAGACGACUAACAAAGGGAAAAAUUAUAUUCGAGGGUGAAGUGAGGUGUGGGGUAAGAGUUAAGUUCAUAUUAUAUUUAUGUAUUCCCGAUAUGUCAUAUUUGUUUGUUUUUGUUUGAAGUUAAUGCCAUGUGUAUUUAGCAAUUUAACUAGCUCUACUGAGCGUAGCUCACCCUUAAUCAAACUCAUUGCAGGUGUGGACCUUGAAACAUCGUGUAUGUUAUAUUGUAAAUUAAGAUUUUUUAGUUUUCUUUGUAAAUAGGGCUUAAAUAAAUAAUGGAUGUUUCGAAAAAAAAUGCUAUUUUUGUUUGUUUGUUGUGUGCUUGUAAUGUUUUAAACAUUUUGUACUAUAAGUGUCUUCUUAUAAGGCUUGUAACGUAAAUAAAGGUUCAAAGGUUUUGUUUUCUAUGUCAUGUAAUGAUAUCAGUCUCAUUUUAAUUAUGAAUAUUAAAUUGUAACGUAAAUAAAGGUUCAAAG
RNAcentral lists this long non-coding RNA (1967 nucleotides) under Fragaria vesca (wild strawberry). RNAcentral describes it as "long non-coding RNA (FVES_LNC000709)". Lineage: Eukaryota; Viridiplantae; Streptophyta; Magnoliopsida; Rosales; Rosaceae. The record is from RNAcentral.